Molecule: non-coding RNA, 2463 nt
Organism: Pantherophis guttatus
Lineage: Eukaryota; Metazoa; Chordata; Lepidosauria; Squamata; Colubridae
Source: RefSeq, a predicted model, not a curated record
UUACUUGAACUUCCUCCCUUUGCGCCCCCCCCUCCCCAAAAGAGCUUUGAGUUUCCUGUGGCAAAGGGGCGGAAGAAAAAAAAAAAUCCUCACUCUCGCCGGGCCCAGAAAGAGCAAGAAAAGGCAGGGAAAUUCGUCAGUUCCAGGCUGGCUUUUGUGCUUUCGCUUUGGCCUCAGCAGACAAAACAAAUCCCCGCCUCUGUCUUCGCGAGGGAGUUCCUGCGGUCGAAGAACCAACCCCACCGACUGCGACUCCCGCUCCACGCGAGGUGGAAGGAGCCCGACGAGCCUCUCUCUCUCUCUCUCUCUCCCACGCCCCGCCAGAAACCCCCUCUCCACAUUCCGCUUGGGCCUUGCACCCAGCGCUUAAACUAAACGGGCGCCUCCGUUGGACUGGCCCGAAGGGAAAAGUAGCCCGCCUGCUUGGCUUCCCCUUGGGCGCAAAGGCGGCGGAAUGAAGCCCGCCUGAACUCCCGGAGCGGCCAGAGCCCUUGCAAGCCGGAGAGAGGAAGUCGCCUGCAGAGGAGAUCCGGAGCACAUUCUCCGCCAGCCAUCUUCUUUUUUGCCUUCUUCCCCGCUCUGAUCCACGCCCUCCUUUAUCCGCUUAAUCCUCCGGGAAGGGAACCUGCCUUUCUCUUCAGCUUCUCGGGCUCGAGGCGUCCAAGGAGCAAAAGGUCCGCGCGGGUACCUUCCAGAUUGGUGAUGAUGUAGCUGGAAAUGAUGGCAGUUGUAGUCCUUCACAUUUGAAUGCGGAUGAGAACUGCCACAUUUUGCCCCUCUCUCUCCUGAGACUCUAAUGAAGAAGUUCCAAAAUGUAUUAGCAGGUUUGGAGUCUUGAAAGAGAACCAUGCUGUGUGAAGAAGCUCAUUUUAUUCUCAGCAUCCACCAACCUCAGCUCAUUUUGAGCAUUAGCCUUUUGGAUGCCACCUCUAUCAUUCCAAACUACCCAUUUAUACCACUUUGAACCUCAUGUGUAUCAUUUUUGGUUUUCAGAUUAACUCUAUGUUUGUUUGUGUGCGUGUGUGUUUAACUACAUUGGCUUAUUCUGCUGCCCUCUACAUUUUUCUUAUUCAAAUUGCUUGUCGUUCUGUUUUUAGAAUAUCCUUUUUAAGGAAACUCCUACUCAUGGUGAGCUUCUUUCCCUAAUAGCUUCUUUUGCCACAGAAGCUUAAUUAGAACCACUCUAUUAAAAUUCACCUUCUUGAAAUCCAAAAUACGUGUUUCAUUAGGCUGAGUUUUAUUUUUCCUUAAAAUCAAGUACUCCAGCACUUUAUGGUUGAUGUUCUUGCUACUUUCACUUCCAUAGCUAAGUCUUCUUACUACUUAAAGAUAAAAGUAAAAGUUUCCCCUGUCCAGUCAUGUCCAACUCCAGGGAGAGAUGCUCAUCCCUUCUUUGUAGCCAAGGGCAUUGUAGCCAAUGACAAUGUGGUCAUGUGGCCAGCAUGACUAUAUGCCAAGGAGCAUAGAAAGCUGUUACUUUCCUACCGAAGUGGCACCUAUUUGUCUACUUGCAUUUGCAUGCUUUCAGACUUGUAGGUGGGCAGGAGCUGGGGCAAGUAGCAAAAGCUCAUGUCAUCACAAGGCACUCAGGUUUUGAACCCUGGCCUGUUAGCUUUCCAGCACACAAGCUCAGUGGCUUUAACUUUUUAUAUUGCAUGUAUUUUAACCCUGGCUGUUCACCGCCCUGAGUCCUUCAAGAGAAGGGCGGUAUAAAAAUUUAAUAAAUAAAAUAAAUAAACUGCUGAGCCAUCAUGCUCCCUAUUGUUAUAACUUACAUGGAGUCAAAAAGGACUUUUCUUGUGCCUUCUUGUACCUUCUGAAAGAGAAAGUAGUUAGCAAGAUAAACCAAAAAGUCUUAGAAUUCCUUGGAUGGAGUUUGCUUUCAGCUUUGGAAUGAUUAAAGUGCCACAAUAUUAAUUUUUGAUGCCUCUAUAAAAAAAUCUGUAGCAUUAUCUAUCUCUUCCCCAUAGUUAGGUGGGCUAUAGUUCUAACUACUCUAUUGCUUAUUUUAACCAGAUGCUCUCAACUGUAUCUCCAAAUUUAUUCACUUGAAUUUCUGAGCUAGUGAGAAUACUUUUAACAUUCAGUGUACUUCCCCUGAAUUUUUCUUUCAGUUCAGUUCUGUUUCCUUUGAACAAAUGUUAUCCUUUGAUCAUGAUCCUCAAACCAUGUGAGCCAUCCUGUUGAGUCUUCAUUUAUUUCAUUAAUUUAACAAUAUUUAUAAGCCAUAUCAAUCCAUAUGGAUUCUAGACAACAUACAGCGAGAUAUAUGAAAAUAAAAACAAUUGAGUGUGUGGAUGUGCACACCCACAGAGAAACUGGUCAUACAAAAGGUCAUGAAUUGCGCAGAAAUGGACAAAUUAAUGCUGAGUCUAAAAGAUAAAGAGGCAUCGAUAUUUUACAAUGUGUGGGAACAGUGGUAUAACUGGAUAGAAUGGAGAUAGAUUAAAGAUAGAUAGUUAU